Long non-coding RNA from Humulus lupulus (European hop), 534 nucleotides. RefSeq lists it as uncharacterized. NCBI's taxonomy places the organism in Eukaryota, Viridiplantae, Streptophyta, Magnoliopsida, Rosales, Cannabaceae. The record is from RefSeq and is a predicted model, not a curated record. The transcript has 3 exons.
GCAUGCAAUGGAUACUACUGUGACGGUUAUAGGCCAAAUUCCUAUAACAAACCCACGCUUUGGACUGAAAAUUGGGAUGGAUGAAUUAUGGUGCAUUCUUGGAGAAAGACGGAGUAGGGUUUAGAGGGCAAGUUAAACUUACUGGAUUUCAAAAUGGGGAUAUAGACCUCUCAAAGUCUUUAUGGACCUACCAGGUUGGGCUCAAGGGAGAAUUCUUGAAGAUAUAUGCUGCAGAAGAAAAUGAAAAGACAGGGUGGACUGAUUUAACUCCAGAUGUUGAUCCAUCGAUAUUAACAAUUUGAUGGCACCGCCUCCACCACCUCCAACAGACCAAGCUUCAGAUGCAAAUUUAAGAGAGUCGCCAUCUAUUUCAGUUUGGGAGUCACAAGAUGAUUCUUAGUUUAUUUACAUUAAUUUACUAAGGAAUGAACUUUAUGAAGAUUUUUUUUAUUUUGGUAGGGGUAACCUUAAAAUGAUAACUUUAUGACUUAUUUUAGUAUUGAACAUUAUAAAGAAUUUUAGCAUUAAACAUUU